CAGAUCAGCUGGAUAUGGAUGCCUGUUUUCCACAAGCAGUUGGAAUCUCAGUCUCCCCAAGUAUUCUGCCAUUCUUAGCUUUCCAACCCAUCUAAUCUCCAUAGCACCAUUCAGUGUAGGUUCAUGCCCCCAGCGCAGAUCUGUAGGGCUGGGUGAUCAGCAGUCCUAGGCCUCCACUCCCUCUCUGCUCUGUUUCUCUUCCUCCCACUGUGAGCUGGGGUGGGGGAAGGUCUUGGGUCCUGCUGCAUCACGGCUUUAUUACGUUACCCUGUUCUAUAAGGUCUGUUCUUUUUUCUAGGUGUGUGCAGUCUGGGACAGCCAUUUUUCUUGUUGCUCUUUCAGGAUUAGUUGUAUUAAUUCUAUUUUCAUAUUACAUGUGACUUUAUGAGGAGGUCUCUGUCUCACCUCUCACACCACCAUCUUUAAACCUCUCCUUUAAUAUGUUUGUUUUUGGCACACUGCUUUUUAAACCAUUAAGUGUUUAUGUUGUUUUAUUUUGAAUUUGAUGCAGUCAUUUUCCAAAAAAGAUGGAGUGGGACAGGAAUAAGAUUCAUUCUAUAAGCUUCUGACAUAAUAAAGUAGGAAGAAAGGAGCAUAAUAAACAUGAAGUCUAUCCUCUCUUCAUUAAAUUGUUCUGACCCUUAAAACAACUACUCUACAUAUUCACUUGACACCAACAUGAGGCCUUCAACUCUUCUUGGUUCCUUUUUCUAUUUUCAAUUUGUAAUGACCUUGAUCAUCUUGCUAUAUUUCAUAAGGUGACUAAUUUUUGAUGCAAUAUAUAAUUUCAUUAAAAUAUUUUUAUAACUACUUUUCUGAAUACAGGUAUUAUAUAGUCCCUCAAAAACUCCUGUAGGAUCUGUUACAAAUCAUGUCAUGCAUCUGUCUUGUACAUGAUAUAAGAUCAGUAUUCUAUAAGAUGGUUUAAGUCUUUCCUGUUUUGUGAAAGAAUACUUUACAUCAUCUUACUCUAAGCUUAGAAUAAACAUUUAAAUACUUACAAAGGUUGUCAAAUAUUUUGAUUUUCCAAUCAAUUGUGUAUGUUACUACUGAAAAUUUUAAAAGGUGUUCCACUUUACAUCCUAAGAAAUGCUAUAUGAAUACUUUGUGAGGCCCAUUUUAACUGCUUCUUAUUUAAAGUGACUUUCUUGUUUUCAUUUUUAGUAAUGAUAUGUUUGAAAGUUAUAAUAGAUAUAAUAUUAAAAACAACCUGGACCAGAUGGUUUAUAUCAUAACUGAAGACACAGAAAACUAUACAAGGAAUGCUGAUCAGAUGCUAAGGCCCUUCAUCCUCCAGGUCACUGACUGUGUGGGUCGAGAAAUGACCCUGCAGAGACCUUUCAGAUGCACCUGCUGUGGCUUCUGUUGUCUCUCCACCAGACAAGAGGUCAGAGAACAGGGUCCAAUCCAUUGUUCCUCCCAGAUCCAACUCUUCACAGCAUGGUUGUGCUCUUCCAAAACUGCACAGGAGGGGGUUUUCACAUGCUCUGCCAGUCAGAAUGAAGGGAGGUAGUGGGGAGGGAGGAAGGCAGACCGUCUCACAAAGGGCUUUUUCUUGUGGGUUCAUGUUCCCAGGGUUAGUUGAGUGGCUAAGUACAAAUUAGGGUCAUUUAGUCAGUGAUCCUACUUGUGUCUACUAAAUUAGGAAUGUACCUCUCAGCUAGAACAGUAGUCAAACACAUUUAUCUCAAUGUACCUACCAAAUCCCCAGAGAACGUAAUGCAUAAACAUAUGCUUUUAGAGUUCUUAGAAGAGACUAGAUACCUUUACUCUACCUAUCAUAACCCAUCCCUUGCUACAGAUAAAGAAGGGCUCACUUGGCAGGGGGACAGGGUUGGAAAUAGAAGGCAGAUGUUCUGAGUCAGAGUCCAGUUAUUCUCUAACUUGUGCAUCUCUAGGAAGGUUGAUUGCUACUGGGAAAAGCAAGGCAGUUUAGAGAGAGGCCAACCAUAGUUUUGUAUCCUAGAUAUGCCACCUACUUAAAUUUAUACAAUUUACUUAACCUCUUUGGGCCUCAGGGUUCUUGUGUAUAGAUUAUGUGUAAUAAUACCCCAUAAGAUUACUGUCAUAUUUAAAAGAAAUAAUUUUUUAAGUAACAGCAUUUGCUAAAUGUGACUCUAUUUUUUUACAGCUCUGUGUUUUGAUUUCCUAUAUAAUGGAAAUAGUAAUAGUAUCUCUCACAUAGGAUUUUUUGAGGAUUAAAUAGUAAAUGAAUGUUAAUUACUCAGAACAGCACCCAGCACAAAGUAAGUGCUCAAAAAUGUUACUUGUUGUUUCCAGAUACCUUACUCCUCUAUCAUUAUCAUUUUUGUAAUAACAACCUUAUAUUUGAGAUAAAUCUUCACCUCUAAUCCUUGAUCCUUUUGAAUAUACUACGAGUUUUUCUUUAUUUGCAUGACUUGUUUUUUCUUCUCAAAUCCUGUAAGAGCAGCCUUCCAAGAUUAGAGUAAGCCAUGACCUAAUAAAACUAAUUGAAAUUACAAACUUACUCAAUUUAUAGUAGUUUAUCCCAUGCUAGAGAUUUUUUUCCCACUUUCUCCAGCUUUACUUGUCCUGUGUGUAUAUUUAGUUCUAUGAAGUUUUGUUACCUGGGUAGCUUCCUAUAUCCACCACCAUAAUGCAGACACCCAACAGUUCCUUCACCACAAAAAUCCACUUUUAUAACCAUACCUGCCACAGAAUGAGAAAGAGAACUGACCCUCUCAUAGCCUGUGAUAAUCAAGCUUCCUCUGUAUCCUGAAGAAAAAGAUGACCUUAUCCCUCAAGGCUGCUCCCUGCAAAGACAACCCUGAGAAAUGGCCAAGGCAAGGAACAGUCAGGGCCUUGCAUUCUUGGAACAUGCAGUAGGAAGUUUGCAGGUGCAGGAGACCCAUGAAGGAUGAUUUCUCCCAAUAAUAAUUCUUCUUGUCCUUGAAUGAACUAAGAGUGCAUAAGGUAGUGUGCAUGUGUACACAUAUGUAUAUUGCAUCUUCACCUCUGUUGCUGCCAUCACCAUGGGCUUUGUUGCAGGACACUGGAACCUGUGCAGGGCAGUUUGCAGCAUCCAGAAUGAGAAGAAAUGAAAUAUGGUGAGAGUACAUGGGCCAUGUUCAACCUAGGGCUGUGGUUCAGAUUCCAUUUUCAUGGUAAACAAUUGCAAAAAUAAUAUUUUUAGAAUUUCCUCUUCAUGACUAACCAAUCUCAAAAUUACCUUGUUUCAGUCUACUUUUCCAUGUAAUGAAUUGAGGUUUAGCAUAUCAUUUAUAAAACAAAUACAGUCAUAUGGUGAAGCAUUUGUAAGAUACUAUAUUAGGUAUUUACAGAAACUUAAAGAUGUACAGAAUUGUACUCUAUCCCUUAGUAAGUGUUUAAAGCAAAAAAAUGUAUGAUUUAGUAUGAGGCUAAACAAGAAUUGUUGAUAUAAAUCAAUACAACUUAAUCAGUUGGCAUAUGUGUACUUUAUGAUUCCGCCAACCAGGCCAUAAGAUAAUUAUCAACCCCAUUUUUCAGAGACAAAGCUGAAAUUCAUCAGGAGUAGAUCAUAAGGAGAUGGGGUAUUGAGGAAUUUUUUCCCACUGAUGCAUUUGUAAUGAAAGGCAUUGUAUGGAAAGUGAGAAAUCUCCUGGAGGAGGGGAUUCAGAACAGGUGGGCUUUAGCUGAUACAAGUGCUUGUAGAGCUGAGAAGUUCCCUCAGAAACCUGGUGAGGUAGUCCACUGUCCUAACCCUGUUUUCCCAGUUCCCGGAGUAGGCUGGUGGUCAGUGUCCAGUGUGUGUGUGGCAGGGGGAGGGCGAGGGGCUGGGUCCAUGAUGCACCCACUCUUGAGGCGAAAGCUGUAUUCAAUUUCAUCAACCAUGUGUGUAUAUUUAUAAGUAUAGUUUUUAAAAACAGAAACACAAAAUAAAUAAGUUCUAAAUGCACAUCCUGUAAUUAGAUAACUAUUGGUUGCCAGUUAAGUUUUCCUACAGUUUUUAGUUCUGCUGCUUCUCAACAAAGGAACCAGUCAUGUGAAAUCAUAUAAUUUUGUUAUAUAUAAUUACUAGGUUUAUCUCAGGAUUUAAUUCUAGGCCGGAUGGAUAUGCAUCUGGGGGAAUUUGGAGAAAAAAACAUCCUAAUCAUGAAAUGGGUGGAAUGAUCUGACCAGUUGCCUGUAAUAACAGUGAUGAUAAUGGUGAUGCUAAUGAUGAGACCAUAUGUAAUGUUUCAGUCACAUGGAAUUCAUGAUCCUCUGAAAAUGCUUGUUUCGCAUCACUGUUUCAUUAGGCUUCCAGCUGAUUAGAUCAGGACUAACCACAUUGUGGAGAGCAAUUUGCUUUACUCAGCUGACCAAUUCAUCUGUUAACCUCAUCCAGAAACACCAGAAUGUUUAACCAAAUAUCUGAGCACUCAUAACCUAGUCAAGCUGACACAUAAAAUUGACCAUCGCAAGUCCACUCCUCAUCAAUUUGGCACCCAUGUACAUCUCCUUAAGCCAUACUUAAUCUAUAAAUAAAGACAAUAACAAGAUCAUAAUUCCAUCUAACAUGAUACAACUAUACUGCCUACAAUCAAAAACACACUACAGCUUCCCUAGAAGAGGGCAAAGAGAGUUCUUGGAUGUUCUUUAUGCUACAAACCUCAAAGUAAAAGUCUGCUAAAAAAUAAACAAGCAAGUAUUUUCUUACCUCUAUUUGUGUGUGUGUGUAUGAUUACUUUUAAUGAGGUGUUACCAUUACGAAGUACUUUGAGAGCGAUGUAGUAUUGAAUUUUUAAAAGUAUAUGUAUAUAAAGAAAGAGAAGGCGAAAACAAUAGUGAACUUAUAUUUUGUACUGAGUUUUUCUAAGUUGUGCAUAAAUUAAAACACAGGACAACACGUACAAGACCCUUUUGUUCUUCCCUCUGUUAUAAAAUCUAUAUUCAUAUCCAGGGACUGACUCUAGUUUCACCAUACAUGCUCUUUUCUGAGCAACAUUUAACACACUCUUUAAGAAUGUCAGAAGGAAAUGGCAUUUGAAGGGUGAACAACUGGGAGCCUCAUAUAGUAGAAACAGAUUUGAACUGAUGAUUUAUUACAUUUUCUUACUGAAAAUGCGGAUGUGUAUUGUUUAAGCAACUACUUCCUCAAAAGAAUUGACUCUUAUCACUCUGUUAAUGUAAUAGUUUUCCAGAGCUUCCCAUUUGGUCAAAUUGGGGCAUAAAAUCUUCUGGAAUUCUGCCAAAUGUUCAGGCGGAGAGCCCAGUGUUUCUGAUCAGGCAGGAUACCAGGCUGCGGACACCGCGCGAGGCCACAGGGUCUUCAGCCUAAAGCAGCAGAUCUGGGGAGCCAGUUUAACUAAAGGGUGUGUCCAUUUUGUUUCCGUCUUAGUUUCUGGCACUGUCCUGUUUCAUUGUGCAGGUCAUAAGCAUGUGAAGUCCGGAACUGACCUAAUUUUUUCAACUGAAGAGAUAAGUGCCAAGUUUACAUCCAUGCCCCUAAGCUUUAUGGGCGUUGAUAUUUUGAGAAUUACUAGCCACGCCACUCUUCUGAUGGUGGCUCGAUUUCAUCCAUCCUUUGGGAACUAGAAGUAAGUGGCAGAAGUAAGCUGCCAAGUUGUAAUGAGCCUAGGAAGAGGUCCAGGUGGCAAGGAAGUGCAGACAACCUUCAACGGACAGCCACAAUAAAACAGACACUUCAGUCACACAGCAGCAAGGAAAUGAAUUAUGUCAGCAACCUGAAGACCUUGGGAACUAAUUCAUCUGUAAUCAAGCCUCCAGGGGAUAAUGUAGCCUGGCUAACACCUUAACUGCAGUCUUGUGGAACCCUGGGCAGAGGGCACAGUUUAGCUGGGAGUCAAUGACUGUGACUCACAGAAAGUGUGAGAUAAUAAUAAAUGUAUAUUGUUUUAAGCUGCUGCAAUUGUGGUAAUUAGUUACACAGCAACAUAACAGUACUAUAGCCAGCAAACUCAAAUCACAAUCAUUUGAGCUUGCUUUCUAUUUUCUGUAUUUUUGUCUCAUAAACAGUUGCAAUUUAACUUGUGAAUUAUUUUUAGUUAAAUAAAAAGAUUUUAUUCUUCUGG
This is a non-coding RNA of Manis javanica (Malayan pangolin), 6017 nucleotides long. The record is from RefSeq and is a predicted model, not a curated record. NCBI's taxonomy places the organism in Eukaryota, Metazoa, Chordata, Mammalia, Pholidota, Manidae.